GACGAACGCUGGCGGCGCGCCUAACACAUGCAAGUCGAACGAGCGAGAGAGAGCUUGCUUUCUCAAGCGAGUGGCGAACGGGUGAGUAACGCGUGAGGAACCUGCCUCAAAGAGGGGGACAACAGUUGGAAACGACUGCUAAUACCGCAUAAGACCACGACCCGGCAUCGGGUAGAGGGAAAAGGAGCACUCCGCUUUGAGAUGGCCUCGCGUCCGAUUAGCUAGUUGGUGAGGUAACGGCCCACCAAGGCGACGAUCGGUAGCCGGCCUGAGGGGUUGAACGGCCACAUUGGAACUGAGACACGGCCCAGACUCCUACGGGAGGCAGCAGUGGGGAAUAUUGCACAAUGGGGGAAACCCUGAUGCAGCGACGCCGCGUGGAGGAAGAAGGUCUUCGGAUUGUAAACUCCUGUUGUUGAGGAAGAUAAUGACGGUACUCAACAAGGAAGUGACGGCUAACUACGUG
RNAcentral lists this ribosomal RNA (466 nucleotides) under uncultured bacterium. RNAcentral describes it as "partial 16S ribosomal RNA". It matches the Rfam family "Bacterial small subunit ribosomal RNA", at positions 28 to 507 of the family's 1533-position model. The record is from RNAcentral.